This 458-nucleotide ribosomal RNA is filed under the name uncultured bacterium. RNAcentral describes it as "partial 16S ribosomal RNA". It matches the Rfam family "Bacterial small subunit ribosomal RNA", at positions 338 to 795 of the family's 1533-position model. The record is from RNAcentral.
CCUACGGGUGGCAGCAGUGAGGAAUAUUGGUCAAUGGGCGAGAGCCUGAACCAGCCAAGUCGCGUGAGGGAGUACUGCCCUAUGGGUUGUAAACCUCUUUUGUCGGGGAGCAAAAGCCGGACGUGUCCGGCUGUGAGAGUACCCGAAGAAAAAGCAUCGGCUAACUCCGUGCCAGCAGCCGCGGUAAUACGGAGGAUGCGAGCGUUAUCCGGAUUUAUUGGGUUUAAAGGGGGCGCAGGCGGAUUUUUAAGUCAGCGGUAAAAUCGUGGGGCUCAACCCCAUCCAGCCGUUGAAACUGGGGAUCUAGAGUGUGCGAGAGGUAUGCGGAAUGCGUGGUGUAGCGGUGAAAUGCAUAGAUAUCACGCAGAACCCCGAUUGCGAAGGCAGCAUACCGGUGCACAACUGACGCUCAGGCACGAAAGCGUGGGUAUCGAACAGGAUUAGAUACCCCGGUAGUC